Molecule: ribosomal RNA, 521 nt
Filed under: uncultured bacterium
Lineage: Bacteria
Description: bacterial SSU rRNA
Rfam family: Bacterial small subunit ribosomal RNA
Source: RNAcentral
AACUAACGCUGGCGGCGUGCCUAACACAUGCAAGUCGUACGAGAAAGUUGGCUUCGGCCGAUGAGUAAAGUGGCGCACGGGUGAGUAAUGCGUGGAUAAUCUGCCCUUUAGUUGGGAAUAACGUACCGAAAGGUGCGCUAAUACCUGAUAAUACUGCAUAACUACUGUUGUGUAGUCAAAGAAGGCCUCUGUUUACAAGCUUUUGCUGAAGGAUGAGUCCGCGUACCAUUAGCUGGUUGGUGGGGUAAUGGCCUACCAAGGCUACGAUGGUUAGCUGGUCUGAGAGGAUGAUCAGCCACACUGGAACUGAGACACGGUCCAGACUCCUACGGGAGGCAGCAGUAGGGAAUAUUGGGCAAUGGGGGGAACCCUGACCCAGCGACGCCGCGUGAGGGACGAAGUCCUUCGGUAGUGUAACCUACUGUUGUGGGGUAAGGAAGUACGAGUGACGGUACCGUCACGAGGAAGGACCCGGCCGAAACUAACGUGCCACGCAGCCGCGGUAAACGUACGUGGUCGGU